GCCUCUGCGUGCCCUCGUGGAAUCUCAUUAAUGCUACAUUUCGGGAACUAGUUAAAUGGAUGUGAUUUCAUUUUUUUUCUCCCUUCCUCCCUUCCCCAUUGUGGUGCAUGCAUUCAUCUUCAACGUGCUCCGGCUGGCGUUUGGAAGUAGUUCCGGUGGCUUCAGAAGGCGAGCGCAGCGCACCGAGCCGGCAGCUUCGCGCCGGCGCCGACGAGAAAAUCGCCGGGUCGAGUCCGCCCGUCGUGACUGUCGGAUGACCCGCAGCCCGCGAAUCAGAGUGGGGUCGGAAUGCAGGAUCUCUGCUCCAGUGAUGAGUAACAGUUGCGUGACAUUCUGGGUCCAGUAGUGACACAUCUACGGAUGCACUGCGACUGACGGCAGCACAGAACAGAACGGCGUUGCAGCAGCGGCCAUUGCCGCGGCUAAAUGAAGAACUUUUGAGGAUGCACGAGGGAAGGACGCUACCUUUCACUUCGGUGACUUCCCCAAAUGCUUUGGCCCAAAGAAAGAUGGAAAGAAUGAGAAGAACCUGAGCCAUCGCACAUCGCCCAUCCAGUGAGCCAACGGGAGAGCGUCCACGCGCCACGUCGCCGAGCCUCCCACCCUUUUGACCUGUCCCCCCCC
Pungitius pungitius (ninespine stickleback) is the source of this 624-nucleotide long non-coding RNA. RefSeq lists it as uncharacterized. The record is from RefSeq and is a predicted model, not a curated record. Lineage: Eukaryota; Metazoa; Chordata; Actinopteri; Perciformes; Gasterosteidae. The transcript has 4 exons.